AACGAACGCUGGCGGCAUGCCUAACACAUGCAAGUCGAACGAGACCUUCGGGUCUAGUGGCGCACGGGUGCGUAACGCGUGGGAACCUGCCCUUAGGUUCGGAAUAACUCCCCGAAAGGGGUGCUAAUACCGGAAAAUGUCUUCGGACCAAAGAUUUAUCGCCUUUGGAUGGGCCCGCGUUGGAUUAGCUAGUUGGUAGGGUAAAAGCCUACCAAGGCGACGAUCCAUAGCUGGUCUGAGAGGAUGAUCAGCCACACUGGGACUGAGACACGGCCCAGACUCCUACGGGAGGCAGCAGUGGGGAAUAUUGGACAAUGGGCGAAAGCCUGAUCCAGCAAUGCCGCGUGAGUGAUGAAGGCCUUAGGGUUGUAAAGCUCUUUUACCCGGGAUGAUAAUGACAGUACCGGGAGAAUAAGCUCCGGCUAACUCCGUG
This 433-nucleotide ribosomal RNA is filed under the name uncultured bacterium. RNAcentral's name for it is "partial 16S ribosomal RNA". It matches the Rfam family "Bacterial small subunit ribosomal RNA", at positions 29 to 507 of the family's 1533-position model. The record is from RNAcentral.